Molecule: ribosomal RNA, 777 nt
Filed under: uncultured bacterium
Lineage: Bacteria
Description: bacterial SSU rRNA
Rfam family: Bacterial small subunit ribosomal RNA
Source: RNAcentral
GGAGCUUGCUUUAUAUAACUUAGCAGCGAACGGGUGAGUAACACGUAGAUAAUCUAUCCUAUACUGGGGGAUAGCCCGAUGAAAGUUGGAUUAAUACCGCAUAUAGCUAUAUAGUUGCAUGAUUAUGUAGUGAAAGAUUUAUUGGUAUAGGAGGAGUCUGCGGCACAUUAGCUAGUAGGUGAGGUAAAGGCUUACCUAGGCGACGAUGUGUAGCCUGUCUGAGAGGAUGAACGGCCACAAUGGAACUGAGACACGGUCCAUACUCCUACGGGAGGCAGCAGUGGGGAAUAUUGCACAAUGGGGGAAACCCUGAUGCAGCAACGCCGCGUGAGUGAAGAAGGUUUUCGGAUUGUAAAGCUCUGUUAGCAGGGAAGAGGAAGGACGGUACCUGCAGAGGAAGCCACGGCUAACUACGUGCCAGCAGCCGCGGUAAUACGUAGGUGGCAAGCGUUGUUCGGAAUAACUGGGCGUAAAGGAUGCGUAGGCGGUUAAACAAGUUAUAUGUUAAAUAUAUAGGCUUAACCUGUAGAAAGCAUAUAAAACUGUUUAACUAGAGUGCAGGAGAGGUAAGUGGAAUUCCUAGUGUAGCGGUGAAAUGCGCAGAGAUUAGGAAGAACACCAGUGGCGAAGGCGACUUACUGGACUGUAACUGACGCUGAGGCAUGAGAGCAUGGGGAGCAAACAGGAUUAGAUACCCUGGUAGUCCAUGCUGUAAACGAUGGGUACUAGGUGUGGGUUGUGAAUAACAAUUCGUGCCCGUCGCAAACGCAAUAAGUA